This 251-nucleotide ribosomal RNA is filed under the name uncultured bacterium. RNAcentral's name for it is "partial 16S ribosomal RNA". It matches the Rfam family "Bacterial small subunit ribosomal RNA", at positions 525 to 775 of the family's 1533-position model. The record is from RNAcentral.
ACGUAGGUUGCAAGCGUUGUCCGGAUUUACUGGGUGUAAAGGGCGUGUAGGCGGAGAUGCAAGUCGGGAGUGAAAUCCAUGGGCUCAACCCAUGAACUGCUUUCGAAACUGUAUCCCUUGAGUAUCGGAGAGGCAAGCGGAAUUCCUAGUGUAGCGGUGAAAUGCGUAGAUAUUAGGAGGAACACCAGUGGCGAAGGCGGCUUGCUGGACGACAACUGACGCUGAGGCGCGAAAGCGUGGGGAGCAAACAG